GAUGAACGCUGGCGGCGUGCCUAAUACAUGCAAGUCGAACGCUGGAAAUCUAGCUUGCUAGAUUGAAGGAGUGGCGAACGGGUGAGUAAUACAUAAGCAACCUACCCACGAAGACAGGGAUAAUCUCUGGAAACGGGGACUAAUACCGGAUAGGUAAUCGGAAGGCAUCUUCUGAUUAUUAAAGGUUAAAAACACUGGUGGAUGGGCUUAUGGCGCAUUAGUUAGUUGGUGAGGUAACGGCCCACCAAGACGAUGAUGCGUAGCCGGCCUGAGAGGGUGAACGGCCACAUUGGGACUGAGACACGGCCCAGACUCCUACGGGAGGCAGCAGUAGGGAAUUUUCGGCAAUGGGGGAAACCCUGACCGAGCAACGCCGCGUGAGUGAUGACGGCCUUCGGGUUGUAAAGCUCUGUUGUAAGGGAAGAACGGUAGAUAGAGAAUAUCUAAAUGACGGUACCUUACCAGAAAGCCACGGCUAACUACGUG
This 486-nucleotide ribosomal RNA is filed under the name uncultured bacterium. RNAcentral's name for it is "partial 16S ribosomal RNA". It matches the Rfam family "Bacterial small subunit ribosomal RNA", at positions 28 to 507 of the family's 1533-position model. The record is from RNAcentral.